Pelobates cultripes (western spadefoot toad) is the source of this 313-nucleotide non-coding RNA. NCBI's taxonomy places the organism in Eukaryota, Metazoa, Chordata, Amphibia, Anura, Pelobatidae. The record is from the annotation of a GenBank genome assembly.
GUAUUUGAAUAUUUACGCCUUUUAAUAUAUAACGCACAUGCUGCUAGAGGAAAUGGCCAAAUCACAUUUUUCAGAUGCAUAUGUCAUAUUGCUUUGCUGGGACAAACCCUUUCCAGUCCUGUUGACUUUAGUUGCAAUUUCUUCCCUUUCAAUACUGGGAUGUAUGUGCAGUGUUUCAGUGUAUAAAAAUGGGAGAAGUGGCAGCUUAAUUAUUCAUUACUGAAGAGAUACACCAAUUUUUAAUUUCUAUUUUAGGAUUGAGAUGUCAACCAGAGAGAUUAUAUAUUAUCUCCACAAAGACAGCUAAACAACU